Molecule: ribosomal RNA, 253 nt
Filed under: uncultured bacterium
Lineage: Bacteria
Description: partial 16S ribosomal RNA
Rfam family: Bacterial small subunit ribosomal RNA
Source: RNAcentral
UACGUAGGUGGCGAGCGUUAUCCGGAAUUACUGGGCGUAAAGCGCACGCGGGCGGUUAUCCAAGUCUGACGUGAAAGCUCCUGGCUUAACUGGGAGAGGUCGUUAGAGACUGGGUAACUUGAGGUGGUGAGAGGGGUGUGGAAUUCCCGGUGUAGUGGUGGAAUGCGUAGAGAUCGGGAGGAACACCAGUGGCGAAAGCGGCACCCUGGCACUACCCUGACGCUGAGGUGCGAAAGCGUGGGGAGCGAACGGG